Molecule: non-coding RNA, 246 nt
Filed under: Vigna angularis (adzuki bean)
Lineage: Eukaryota; Viridiplantae; Streptophyta; Magnoliopsida; Fabales; Fabaceae
Source: RNAcentral
GCUGAGCUAGGUCAUGCUAGCUUGUAACCCAAAUGGGAGUAUUAAGAUAAUGGUAUAUGGUGUGGGCUUGUACUGACAUGGGCUAUGGAAUCUAAUAUGAAUAGAGCUUCCUGCACCUUCGACUCGAGGUAUGACAUGCUUUCCAUUCUCAGCCUCUAAGGAACAGGUCGGACAUUGAUUUUAUGCAAUCUAUGAUGUGUGCAUAUUAAUCACCAAUCUGGGUCCAAAUCAUAAACUCUUAUCUUU